RNAcentral lists this unclassified non-coding RNA (250 nucleotides) under Sugiyamaella sp. Its description in RNAcentral is "partial contains 5.8S ribosomal RNA, internal transcribed spacer 2, and large subunit ribosomal RNA". RNAcentral also lists the same sequence under 1 other name. The record is from RNAcentral. Lineage: Eukaryota; Fungi; Ascomycota; Dipodascomycetes; Dipodascales; Trichomonascaceae.
AACGCACAUUGCGCCCCUUGGUAUUCCAUGGGGCAUGCCUGUUCGAGCGUCAUUUGUACCCUCAAGCUCUGCUUGGUGUUGGGUGUUUGUCCACUCCCCCGUGUCUGGACUCGCCUUAAAGCAAUUGGCAGCCAGUGUUUUGGUAUUGAAGCGCAGCACAUUUUGCGCCUCUAGCCUAGAAAUACUGACGUCCAGUAAGCCUUUUUCCACUUUUGACCUCGGAUCAGGUAGGGAUACCCGCUGAACUUAA